UGGGGAAUUUUGGACAAUGGGCGAAAGCCUGAUCCAGCAAUGCCGCGUGUGUGAAGAAGGCCUUCGGGUUGUAAGGCACUUUUGUCCGGAAAGAAAUCCUUGGCUCUAAUACAGUCGGGGGAUGACGGUACCGGAAGAAUAAGCACCGGCUAACUACGUGCCAGCAGCCGCGGUAAUACGUAGGGUGCAAGCGUUAAUCGGAAUUACUGGGCGUAAAGCGUGCGCAGGCGGUUUGCUAAGACCGAUGUGAAAUCCCCGGGCUCAACCUGGGAACUGCAUUGGUGACUGGCAGGCUAGAGUAUGGCAGAGGGGGGUAGAAUUCCACGUGUAGCAGUGAAAUGCGUAGAGAUGUGGAGGAAUACCGAUGGCGAAGGCAGCCCCCUGGGCCAAUACUGACGCUCAUGCACGAAAGCGUGGGGAGCAAACAGGAUUAGAUACCCUGGUAGUCCACGCCCUAAAACGAUGUCAACUAGUUGUUGGGGAUUCAUUUCCUUAGUAACGUAGCUAACGCGUGAAGUUGACCGCCUGGGGAGUACGGUCGCAAGAUUAAAACUCAAAGGAAUUGACGGGGUCAUAGCUGUUUCCU
Molecule: ribosomal RNA, 586 nt
Filed under: uncultured bacterium
Lineage: Bacteria
Description: partial 16S ribosomal RNA
Rfam family: Bacterial small subunit ribosomal RNA
Source: RNAcentral